GCUGGGGUGGCUCAGGGCUAGAAUUCUUGCCUUCCGUGUGAGAGACCCAGGUUCAAUUCCUGGCCAGCG
Molecule: transfer RNA, 69 nt
Filed under: Loxodonta africana (African savanna elephant)
Lineage: Eukaryota; Metazoa; Chordata; Mammalia; Proboscidea; Elephantidae
Rfam family: tRNA
About the family: Transfer RNA (tRNA) molecules are approximately 80 nucleotides in length.
Source: Rfam by way of RNAcentral